Molecule: ribosomal RNA, 1047 nt
Filed under: Escherichia coli
Lineage: Bacteria; Pseudomonadati; Pseudomonadota; Gammaproteobacteria; Enterobacterales; Enterobacteriaceae
Description: partial 23S ribosomal RNA
Rfam family: Bacterial large subunit ribosomal RNA
Source: RNAcentral
GGUUAAGCGACUAAGCGUACACGGUGGAUGCCCUGGCAGUCAGAGGCGAUGAAGGACGUGCUAAUCUGCGAUAAGCGUCGGUAAGGUGAUAUGAACCGUUAUAACCGGCGAUUUCCGAAUGGGGAAACCCAGUGUGAUUCGUCACACUAUCAUUAACUGAAUCCAUAGGUUAAUGAGGCGAACCGGGGGAACUGAAACAUCUAAGUACCCCGAGGAAAAGAAAUCAACCGAGAUUCCCCCAGUAGCGGCGAGCGAACGGGGAGCAGCCCAGAGCCUGAAUCAGUGUGUGUGUUAGUGGAAGCGUCUGGAAAGGCGCGCGAUACAGGGUGACAGCCCCGUACACAAAAAUGCACAUGCUGUGAGCUCGAUGAGUAGGGCGGGACACGUGGUAUCCUGUCUGAAUAUGGGGGGACCAUCCUCCAAGGCUAAAUACUCCUGACUGACCGAUAGUGAACCAGUACCGUGAGGGAAAGGCGAAAAGAACCCCGGCGAGGGGAGUGAAAAAGAACCUGAAACCGUGUACGUACAAGCAGUGGGAGCCUCUUUAUGGGGUGACUGCGUACCUUUUGUAUAAUGGGUCAGCGACUUAUAUUCUGUAGCAAGGUUAACCGAAUAGGGGAGCCGAAGGGAAACCGAGUCUUAACUGGGCGUUAAGUUGCAGGGUAUAGACCCGAAACCCGGUGAUCUAGCCAUGGGCAGGUUGAAGGUUGGGUAACACUAACUGGAGGACCGAACCGACUAAUGUUGAAAAAUUAGCGGAUGACUUGUGGCUGGGGGUGAAAGGCCAAUCAAACCGGGAGAUAGCUGGUUCUCCCCGAAAGCUAUUUAGGUAGCGCCUCGUGAAUUCAUCUCCGGGGGUAGAGCACUGUUUCGGCAAGGGGGUCAUCCCGACUUACCAACCCGAUGCAAACUGCGAAUACCGGAGAAUGUUAUCACGGGAGACACACGGCGGGUGCUAACGUCCGUCGUGAAGAGGGAAACAACCCAGACCGCCAGCUAAGGUCCCAAAGUCAUGGUUAAGUGGGAAACGAUGUGGGAAGGCCCAGA